AACGAACGCUGGCGGCAGGCCUAACACAUGCAGGUCGAGCGCGCCUUCGGGUGAGCGGCGGACGGGUGAGUAACGCGUGGGAAUAUGCCCUUCUCUACGGAAUAGUCCUGGGAAACUGGGGGUAAUACCGUAUACGCCCUUUGGGGGAAAGAUUUAUCGGGGAAGGAUUAGCCCGCGUUGGAUUAGGUAGUUGGUGGGGUAAUGGCCUACCAAGCCGACGAUCCAUAGCUGGUUUGAGAGGAUGAUCAGCCACACUGGGACUGAGACACGGCCCAGACUCCUACGGGAGGCAGCAGUGGGGAAUCUUAGACAAUGGGGGCAACCCUGAUCUAGCCAUGCCGCGUGAGUGAUGAAGGCCUUAGGGUUGUAAAGCUCUUUCAGCUGGGAAGAUAAUGACGGUACCAGCAGAAGAAGCCCCGGCUAACUCCGUG
RNAcentral lists this ribosomal RNA (431 nucleotides) under uncultured bacterium. RNAcentral's name for it is "partial 16S ribosomal RNA". It matches the Rfam family "Bacterial small subunit ribosomal RNA", at positions 29 to 507 of the family's 1533-position model. The record is from RNAcentral.